UUUUGGACAAUGGGCGCAAGCCUGAUCCAGCAAUGCCGCGUGAGUGAAGAAGGCCUUCGGGUUGUAAAGCUCUUUUGUCAGGGAAGAAACGGUGAGCUCUAAUACAGUUUGCUAAUGACGGUACCUGAAGAAUAAGCACCGGCUAACUACGUGCCAGCAGCCGCGGUAAUACGUAGGGUGCAAGCGUUAAUCGGAAUUACUGGGCGUAAAGCGUGCGCAGGCGGUUAUGUAAGUCAGAUGUGAAAUCCCCGGGCUCAACCUGGGAAUGGCAUUUGAGACUGCAUGGCUAGAGUGUGUCAGAGGGGGGUAGAAUUCCACGUGUAGCAGUGAAAUGCGUAGAGAUGUGGAGGAAUACCGAUGGCGAAGGCAGCCCCCUGGGAUAACACUGACGCCCAUCACGCA
Molecule: ribosomal RNA, 402 nt
Filed under: uncultured bacterium
Lineage: Bacteria
Description: bacterial SSU rRNA
Rfam family: Bacterial small subunit ribosomal RNA
Source: RNAcentral